This 1220-nucleotide ribosomal RNA is filed under the name human gut metagenome. Its description in RNAcentral is "bacterial SSU rRNA". It matches the Rfam family "Bacterial small subunit ribosomal RNA", at positions 8 to 1227 of the family's 1533-position model. The record is from RNAcentral.
AGAGUUUGAUCCUGGCUCAGGAUGAACGCUAGCGGCAGGCCUAACACAUGCAAGUCGAGGGGCAGCACGGUGUAGCAAUACACUGGUGGCGACCGGCGCACGGGUGCGUAACGCGUAUGCAACCUACCCAUAACAGGGGGAUAACACUGAGAAAUUGGUACUAAUACCCCAUAACAUCAGGACCGGCAUCGGUUCUGGUUGAAAACUCCGGUGGUUAUGGAUGGGCAUGCGUUGUAUUAGCUGGUUGGUGAGGUAACGGCUCACCAAGGCAACGAUACAUAGGGGGACUGAGAGGUUAACCCCCCACAUUGGUACUGAGACACGGACCAAACUCCUACGGGAGGCAGCAGUGAGGAAUAUUGGUCAAUGGACGCAAGUCUGAACCAGCCAUGCCGCGUGCAGGAAGACGGCUCUAUGAGUUGUAAACUGCUUUUGUACGAGAGUAAACGCUCUUACGUGUAAGAGCCUGAAAGUAUCGUACGAAUAAGGAUCGGCUAACUCCGUGCCAGCAGCCGCGGUAAUACGGAGGAUCCAAGCGUUAUCCGGAUUUAUUGGGUUUAAAGGGUGCGUAGGCGGUUUGAUAAGUUAGAGGUGAAAUACCGGUGCUUAACACCGGAACUGCCUCUAAUACUGUUGAACUAGAGAGUAGUUGCGGUAGGCGGAAUGUAUGGUGUAGCGGUGAAAUGCUUAGAGAUCAUACAGAACACCGAUUGCGAAGGCAGCUUACCAAACUAUAUCUGACGUUGAGGCACGAAAGCGUGGGGAGCAAACAGGAUUAGAUACCCUGGUAGUCCACGCAGUAAACGAUGAUAACUCGCUGUCGGCGAUACACAGUCGGCGGCUAAGCGAAAGCGAUAAGUUAUCCACCUGGGGAGUACGUUCGCAAGAAUGAAACUCAAAGGAAUUGACGGGGGCCCGCACAAGCGGAGGAACAUGUGGUUUAAUUCGAUGAUACGCGAGGAACCUUACCCGGGCUUGAAAGUUAGUGACGAUUCUGGAAACAGGAUUUCCCUUCGGGGCACGAAACUAGGUGCUGCAUGGUUGUCGUCAGCUCGUGCCGUGAGGUGUCGGGUUAAGUCCCAUAACGAGCGCAACCCCUACCGUUAGUUGCCAUCAGGUCAAGCUGGGCACUCUGGCGGGACUGCCGGUGUAAGCCGAGAGGAAGGUGGGGAUGACGUCAAAUCAGCACGGCCCUUACGUCCGGGGCUACACACGUGUUA